GCCUGGGUGGCUCAGUCGGUUAAGCGUCCGACUUCGGCUCAGGUCAUGAUCUCGCAGUUCGUGGGUUCGAGCCCCACAUCAGGCU
This is a transfer RNA of Felis catus (domestic cat), 85 nucleotides long. It matches the Rfam family "tRNA". From Rfam's summary of the family: Transfer RNA (tRNA) molecules are approximately 80 nucleotides in length. Lineage: Eukaryota; Metazoa; Chordata; Mammalia; Carnivora; Felidae. The record is from Rfam.